Molecule: unclassified non-coding RNA, 329 nt
Filed under: soil metagenome
Description: partial contains 5.8S ribosomal RNA, internal transcribed spacer 2, and large subunit ribosomal RNA
Rfam family: 5.8S ribosomal RNA (bases 1-120)
Source: RNAcentral
GAUGAAGAACGCAGCGGAAUGCGAUAAGUAAUGUGAAUUGCAGAAUUCAGUGAAUCAUCGAAUCUUUGAACGCACAUUGCGCCCUCUGGUAUUCCGGGGGGCAUGCCUGUUCGAGCGUCAUUAUAACCACUCAAGCUCUCGCUUGGUAUUGGGGUUCGCGGUUUCGCGGCCCCUAAAAUCAGUGGCGGUGCCUGUCGGCUCUACGCGUAGUAAUACUUCUCGCGAUUGAGUUCGAUAGGUCUACUUGCCAGUAACCCCCAAUUUUUACAGGUUGACCUCGGAUCAGGUAGGGAUACCCGCUGAACUUAAGCAUAUCAAUAAGCGGAGGA